GGAGAGGUGGUCGAGUGGUUGAUGGCACCCGCCUCGAAAGCGGACGGACGUGAUGAGCGUCCCGAGAGUUCGAAUCUCUCCCUCUCCACCA
This is a transfer RNA of 91 nucleotides. It matches the Rfam family "tRNA". Rfam says of the family: Transfer RNA (tRNA) molecules are approximately 80 nucleotides in length. Their secondary structure includes four short double-helical elements and three loops (D, anti-codon, and T loops). Further hydrogen bonds mediate the characteristic L-shaped molecular structure. tRNAs have two regions of fundamental functional importance: the anti-codon, which is responsible for specific mRNA codon recognition, and the 3' end, to which the tRNAs corresponding amino acid is attached (by aminoacyl-tRNA synthetases). tRNAs cope with the degeneracy of the genetic code in two manners: having more than one tRNA (with a specific anti-codon) for a particular amino acid; and 'wobble' base-pairing, i.e. permitting non-standard base-pairing at the 3rd anti-codon position.